UGAGGAACAUGACCUUCGGCGGGGGAUAGCCGGCCCAACGGCCGGGUAAUACCGCGUACGACCACUUUGGGACAUCCCUCGGUGGUGAAAGCAGCAAUGCGCCGAUGGAGUGCCUCGCGGCCUAUCAGCUAGUUGGUGAGGUAACGGCUCACCAAGGCGACGACGGGUAGCUGGUCUGAGAGGAUGGCCAGCCACAUUGGGACUGGGACACGGCCCAGACUCCUACGGGAGGNAG
This 235-nucleotide ribosomal RNA is filed under the name uncultured bacterium. RNAcentral describes it as "partial 16S ribosomal RNA". It matches the Rfam family "Bacterial small subunit ribosomal RNA", at positions 118 to 351 of the family's 1533-position model. The record is from RNAcentral.